This 615-nucleotide ribosomal RNA is filed under the name uncultured bacterium. RNAcentral's name for it is "bacterial SSU rRNA". It matches the Rfam family "Bacterial small subunit ribosomal RNA", at positions 56 to 653 of the family's 1533-position model. The record is from RNAcentral.
UGCAGUCGAGCGAUGGAUUGAGAGCUUGCUCUCAAGAAGUUAGCGGCGGACGGGUGAGUAACACGUGGGUAACCUGCCCAUAAGACUGGGAUAACUCCGGGAAACCGGGGCUAAUACCGGAUAACAUUUUGAACNGCAUGGUUCGAAAUUGAAAGGCGGCUUCGGCUGUCACUUAUGGAUGGACCCGCGUCGCAUUAGCUAGUUGGUGAGGUAACGGCUCACCAAGGCAACGAUGCGUAGCCGACCUGAGAGGGUGAUCGGCCACACUGGGACUGAGACACGGCCCANACUCCUACGGGAGGCAGCAGUAGGGAAUCUUCCGCAAUGGACGAAAGUCUGACGGAGCAACGCCGCGUGAGUGAUGAAGGCUUUCGGGUCGUAAAACUCUGUUGUUAGGGAAGAACAAGUGCUAGUUGAAUAAGCUGGCACCUUGACGGUACCUAACCAGAAAGCCACGGCUAACUACGUGCCAGCAGCCGCGGUAAUACGUAGGUGGCAAGCGUUAUCCGGAAUUAUUGGGCGUAAAGCGCGCGCAGGUGGUUUCUUAAGUCUGAUGUGAAAGCCCACGGCUCAACCGUGGAGGGUCAUUGGAAACUGGGAGACUUGAGUGCAGAA